Condylura cristata (star-nosed mole) is the source of this 7672-nucleotide long non-coding RNA. RefSeq lists it as uncharacterized. The transcript has 3 exons. The record is from RefSeq and is a predicted model, not a curated record. Lineage: Eukaryota; Metazoa; Chordata; Mammalia; Eulipotyphla; Talpidae.
CAAGAUGGCGGAGUGAGGCGCGCCGAGUUAAGCCGGCCUUUGGGCCGGGGGCAGAUAGGCCCCUGGGCAGUUGAAUGCCUCUGUGAGUUUGAACAAGGGUGAAUAUUUUCCUUGAGUUUUAGGUGCUUUUUUAUUCAUCUCAAAAAGAAAACAAAAUUCUGAACUCAGGAUUUGACAAGUAUUUCUAUGUUGUCUUCAGGAAUGGUAGUCCUGCUUCUUUUGUCUGGCCACUUUCCCUAUUCUUAAAGGUGGAUCUCUCUUCCCUGCAUUUUAUCUCCAUGAUUUGGAAUGGAAAAUGAGCUCUUCUUUUUGCUCCAGAACUCAGAUGCAACACAGAAACCCCUAGGAUGCCGUGAUUCUGCCAACUUCUACAUGAAAAAAGAAGCAACUGAUAUGCCUUCUACUUGUUAAACUGGAAAGAAAUUGUUUCGCAAGCAGCAGGCUGAUGUUAAAUUUGAAACAGGUGCUGAGAUUAUGGUGUUUGUGAACCUUUUACCUUUUGUUCCAAACAAGAAGACUAAAGUAAGUAGCAAGUAUGGAUGACAUCAGGGUUUUGUUUUGUUUUUUAAUGUCUUCCAGUUUCAGAUAUUACCAUAAUAAGCACAGCAAAUUCCAAAUAUGUGUUCUAAUUUAAAAUGAAAGUGAUACUAAAAAAAUUACAUUUAUAACAAUGAAUCACGGUUCAUCCUAUAACAGAUUUACUGGAUGAUAAGAACAACUUCUAAUUCUGCAAUAAAACCUUUGAUGUGAUAAAGAAGCAUAAAGACAAGAUAAUAUAAGGUUACUUUCAUAUGUGAAUAAACCACAGUAACUGUAAAUGUGUUUUUCAGUUAGAAAUCCACAUUUUUGAAUGAGAAGAGGGAAUUUUCUCUUGGAAAAGGAAGCUGUUCUUUCUCGGGAAUCUUUGGACAUUUGUUACUUUUUAACAGGCUUUUUUUUUUUUUUUUUCUUUUUUUUAAGAAUGGACUACAUUGUGCAUAUGCUAACCCUAUGAAUGCAUGUGGGUUUAAUGCAAGAUUGGUAAAAGAAAACAAAACAGUUUUGAGCCCAGUGAUGGACCUCAUUCAACUCUGCAGGAUAAGAGACUACAUAUUGCAAAUUCAUUCUUUUUUAAGGAGUCUUACCUAGAACUUGAGAGUUGGUUUUCCAUGUUGCCGAGACUAGAAGAAAAGUGGUAUAUAGUGGUUUUCCUGUUGAGAAGAUGUAAUAGAUCCUAUGGUGUGGCCUGUCUUCAACUUUGGACAUUAAAGGAGUAUGGGAAAAUAAGAUAUUACCUUUCUUCUAAGAAAAAGCAAAAAUACCUACUGGAUUUCCAUCUGACUUUAUGGCAUUUCAUAUUCUAUGGCUACAGUUUUUAUAAACUCAUAAGUAACUUUUUUUUUUUUUUUUUUUUUUACCAAAGAUGGGUUCUUGAAUGUUUGAUUUAUUUUUAAGGCAAUAGGUGUAUGUUAGGUUGAAAAAAGUGGAAUUCAGGUAACUUUCUCCAGUGGAACUGAAAUUUUGCAUCCAAGAAUGAACUUCAGCAACAAUGUUUCCCAAAUUUGUGGUUGGGUCAUUGUAGACUUAGAAGAAAUUCAGAGUCUAGAGUCUCAAAACAAGACAAAGGUUUCAAGAAGGAACAUGAACUUCCUUAAAACUUACACCAUAUGAACUUGCUAGUGUAAAACUGUCCUGGCUUCCAGAUCAGCAGAGGACCACUGUGUAAGCUGCCAGGUCUUUACAUAGGAAGAAUGGAAUCUUUAUGUCUUUGUAAGUAGAGAAAGAAUUUAAAUUUAGCUGAAAUUCAGAAUAGUCUUAGAUCAUCUCUGUGACUUAGGAAAUGUUUGCCCAAGGCCAUGUAUGCUUUUAUGCUGAAAAUUUAAUUCAUAAUUAUUAUUUGAGAGCGACAAGACAUGUCCAACCAAAGGAAAAGUUGAGCAUUCUUAGGGAUUAGUCAAAUUGACUGAUAAGAAAAUAUAGUUUCCUGUGAGGGCAGUUACUGAAUAGUGAAGCUCAGUGAAAAGAACUUUGGAUAAAGAUAAACUUUUAAGUGAUUUCCUACCCACUUCCUGAUGUUUUCAGUAUUUUGAAAUUGUUAAAGACAAUGAAGCCUAUAUACAUUACUUCCCUUUCGUGUGUUGAAAAUAUAUUACGCAGAAAUUUUUAUUUCUCAAGUUACCUAAUUUCCCCAAUUGCUUUUGGCAACAUUUUGGGUAGGGUCGCUUGGCAGGGAAAUUGGGUACCUGUACUGUCAUUGCCGGUGAAACCAGGUCUCGCCCACUUACUGAACAUGUAUCAGACAGCUUCGCUAGUUGCUUCAUAUUUUUUAUUUCACUGCUAGGCUAACUACUGUUUACUGCUCUUUUCAAAUUAUUACUGCAUUUUCCAUGGCUGUCACCUGACAACAUUAAACAAGUGAGUGUAUUCCAAUUGUAUUUACCCAGUGUUUGCUUACUAUAUCUACAUUUUUUUUCCUGGGGUCAGUUUUGUUCUCCUUGAUGGCAAAAGCUAUCACUUUGGGCAAGAUGCCUCAAUCUAUAGCUGUGUCCACUUCCACUAUUUUUGUUCAUCCAGGUCAGCUGGCAGUUUUUCUUUUAAAAAGUUAAACAAAAACGGGGUAUGUGCAAUAGAAAUAUAUAUAUAUGUAUAUUUUAAUACUUGUGGACAAAUGUUACAAGUUGUUGAAGAACAACAAAAUCACCAAUGUCUUCCAUUUUGAGAUGUGUAUAGUUUUGUAAGCAUUAGUGCUUGGUAGCAUAUUGUAGUGCCAUGUUAGGGAUUAGUGCAUGAACCUAGUAAUAAUUUAAACUUCAGGAUGAAUUAUUGAUAAUCAGUGGUGUAAAAAGAGUGGAAAAUUUAGACCUUUUUUCAUAAAUACCUAACUCCAUUGUAUUCUCCCUGGGGGAAGAUUAAGGCCAAAAAAGACUCACUUAUGAAUAGAAAUGUGGGGUCACAAUGUAAAAUACUGUGUUUUGAGGAUAUUUAAGCUUUCCAUGAAGUUACUGGAUACCAGUUGGCUUUGUCUUGUGAAAUCCCAAAUCAAAACAAGACCCCGUAUCAUGAUUCUGCUUUGCUCUUAGUUUUAGGUAAAAUUUUUCUUAUGUUAUAUUCACAUUGUAUGUCCUGUAGGUUUAUUAUUUUCCUACUUUUAUAUCAAGAAAUUAUAUUUUGCAUGUCUUACUGAGAUGCUGUGUUAAUUGCUUAUGUCAGUCUUAAUGUGUAGAUCAUUUAGUUUUCCUACCUGCAGCAUGCUACAUGUUAAUGGGAGAACACUGCUCAGUAGUUUUGUGUCCUAGGUUAACUUGUCAUGGGCUCUUCUACUUCCAAGUAUGUGGGGUUGUAUAUUGAUGGAAUUCCAUACUUAUUAAUUAAUGAGAUUGGAAACACAGCUAGAUGGCAUCAACCUAGGUUGCCAUAUGUAAUUAUCUAGUUCUUUUGCUUGGAUAUAGUAAGCCACCUCAGACAGCUUUCACUUUUUUCUAUUUUCUUUGUAGAAAUAAAAGUUGUUUUGUUCUGAAAGCAUAAGAUAGCUUUAUAUAGAAAAGAAACUCCUACCUACCUCUAAAAGCUGCCUUGAGAAAUUGGAAAUGGCAGUUUUCUGAGGUGAUUUUAGAAUGUUAGAGUACUAGAGUUCAGGAUUUAUUACAAUUUUACAGUUAGCAUAACAGGAAAUGCAAAUCUGUUAAUGUGGUGUAUGUGCAGAGGCAAGUUUAAACAAAUAAAACUCUCAGACAGCAGAUCUCCAGGGACCCAGGUUUAGAUUAUCAUAGUGUAUUUAAAAUAGUUGUACUCUUAACUCAAGUAGCUUAGUGCCUGGAAGAAUCCAUUUCUGAAAAGCAUUUGAACAUUUAAAAAAAUACCUCUGAAAAGGUAAUGAAUACAAAAUAGCACAGUAUAUAUAGGAAAGGAUAUUUCCUUUUGCAAAAAAAAAAAAAAAAAAAGCCAUAAAAUGAACCGAUACUUUUCAAGAGGUAGAAUAUUAGUAGCAAUAACAAUUUUGUAUAUGUAAUAAACUGAAUUAGCAAGGUUGUACAGUAGAGUAUUACUACUUGAGUUUGUGGGACUUUGUGAUCAACACAGUCACACAAAAGGAAAAAGAUAUUCUAAGAGCAUAUAAAAGAUACUUUUAAAGCUAUGAAUGUAUUUGGGAAUAUCAUUGUGUGAGAAAUACCAACUUUUGGUAAAUUAAAGGAUAAAGACCCUGUUUCCUAAAGCAGAGGGUUAGAGCCUUUGAACUAAACUUUUCUAGUGCUUAAUCUGGAAACAAAUGUACUCCUACUGAUGUAGCCCCAUUGAAGCCAUGGUAUCUGGGUUUUACUUAUGUUUCUUUUAGCAUCAGGCAUUUAAGAACAUAAAUUUUUGUUUUGUUUUCUCCUUCCUCCAUUAAUUUUCUGAGUGCAUUAUUUUUAAAGGGAGAAGUUUGUUGUGUGUGUGUGUAUAAUUAGGGUGUUUUUGUUUUUUUUUUUUAAAGUUCAGAACUUAUAUAACUGGCUUUUUUUCAUACCUGUGACUGGUAAAUUAGGGGAAUUAGUAUUUAAAUAUGUAAAGCAAAAGGAUUAAAGGGGAUAAUAGCCAAAUGCAGUUUUGGUUUUGUUGAUUUUGUUCAGUUUUUCUAAUCUUGACUAAACAGAUGUUCCAAGGUCUGUGGCUUUUGAUUACUUAGUUUAAUGAAAAAUUUUAUCUGCAGAAUCACACAACUCAUAUCAGGAUAUUAUAGUGGAAUGAGGAUGUCUUCUUACUCCCUUUUACCUCUUAUUAAUCUUGGCCAUUUAGCACCUUGAAGAUCUCUGGAAAAAGAUGAUGUCUGUGUUUCCUUGCUUUUCCAGGGAGGUAAAAAAAAAAAAAAGAGUAAAUCUAGAGAGAUGGUGCUUUUUGAGUAUUUUUGAUAGGGCAACUCCAAAUGAUAGGAUUCAUUAUAUAGCUCUUUUAAAUGUCCUGUGCCACAGGUUGGUACUGAAGACAUUGAAAUAACCAAGCAAUAUUCAGACAUCUGCACAAUCAUGAGAACACCACCAUGUUACGAUGAUUUCAAAAGCAUGGUUACUUGAACAAUGACAGAUCGACUUAACAGCCACGUUAAUAGUUCUAAAUGCUAAAAUGUGCUACAAGUUUUUGUUGUCUCGACAUGUGCUGUUACUUACUAAUUAUUAAUUCAAUGUGUGGUCUCAUGUUUACUUUUUGUGUACCUGUGAUAUGUAAAAUAUGAAGAGACCCUUGGCCUCCAGGAGUUUACAUUUUCAUGGUGCUUCUGAUGCAAGCAAAUUGCUUCUAGUUUAUUCAGAACAUUGCUUGGCUAUUGAUUAUACCAUAUUUGGGAGGAUCCCUUGGCCAACAGUUUUCAAAAGCAGAGGGCUAUGAUAAAUUUCAGGGCAUUGAUUUUGAGUUUACAAUGUAUUAGUUCUGCUGUUCAUAAACUACUUCUCCCCAGGGAACUGUGCAGUUAAUGCUCAUUAAUAUGAUUCAGAAAUUCUGCCUACGAGUGUCUUCACCAUCCCUAAACCAAUGUUGGUCUAUGCUAUAGCUGUCAGUAAAUGGCCAGGAAACUUAAAUGCUCCAAAAGACUGUACAUCUAUCUUUCUUUCUUCACCCAGAGUUUUUACAUCAUCCUCUAUUCAAAGGACCAGGAUUUACAAUUAAGUAUUUUGUAACUCAAUAGUGGUCCUAAAUCUUAACCUUUUUUGUGUGUGAAUUUUGUACCUAUAUUCUAAUGCAGCAUUGUGAUAGACGUAGAACACUUGCCUGCAUUUCUGAGCAAUUACUUUCUUAAUGCACAUUUUUGGUUGAGAUUUUGCAUGUAUCAUUAUUUACCUUAACUUCUCUGAAUCUAGAGGUUUAAUCUGCAUGUUUAUUAAAUCUGGGUCUGGUUCAGAAUACAAGCAAUAGUGGCAGGCCCAUAAUUCUGAUCUUACCAAUAUCCUAAUGCAUGAUUGAAAUUGUUCAGUGUACUGUGGUUACUAGUGAUUAUACAUAUGCAUUUAUUAAUAAUGAAGCAAUAGAGACUUAUACCAAUAGCUUGAAUUUAUUAUUUGAAUUUCUCUCUAAUUAAAGAUGAUCUUACUUCCAUUAUGGGAUCUUAACAGGGACAAAGACAUUCAAACUAUCAGGAAUAGAGCAUAAUAAUGCUCACCUUCUAAUCUCUUGCCUGUUUCCAUUAGUUCCCCAAGCAUGUUUAAAAACAAAAGGCACAAAUUAAGCAUGUUGAAUUCAUAAAUAAGCUGCUAUCGCGCUAAUAAUCAGAAAGGUGUAGAGUUUCAGAAAUGGUAGGAAAGUAGGGAAUACAAAUGUGGGGCAUGAAAAAUAAUCAUAUAUGGGGUUUGUGUGAUAAUAUUUUAGGUGGCCUAAGGUUAGAUCUCUUAAAACUGCUAUCUCAGAAGUAAAUAGAGGUGAUAUACACAUAUUUCAGAUGUUCUCCAGGAUUUUCAGAUAAUUAUGCUGUUGUGGAUAGUACUUUUAUCUGCCAGUCAUGAAAGAUCCCUGCAGCUAAGGAGACUGGCCCAUUUUGUGGAAAUAGUCAUGAAAAUAGACAUAUCUGUGAUUUGGGUUUUUGUUUUUGUUUUUAAAUUACACUAUUACAUUAAAUUAAAGGUUAUAUUUGUGGUCUCUUUCGUUUAGCCAUCGUUUAUUCUUGAUAUUUUGAUUAGACUACAUCACUUGUUACCUAAAGUUUUUGAUAGUCCAGAAUCAGUAGCAAUUUUCCCUUUUUGGGGAAACAAGAAAAACCUUGCCUUUUGUAUUUUUAUUCGAUUAAAAGGUCAGCUUGUUGAUGUAACUCAAAUUUUUUCUUGAAGAUUCUUGACUAGAUUAACCCUGGUAAAGUUAUGACAAAUAAUAUACAAAUGGAAUUAAUUGUCUGAAUGAGGUCUACAGUGAAAUUCAGGAUUAAACCAAUUUCAUGUUCCCAGAGUUUUUAUUCACGAAAAUUAUUUUUCCAAAAAUUAAUCUCCUUUUCUUUCUGUGGGAUUUUACCGCAGAUCCCUUUGGUGAUGUUCAAGUGGUAUGGUAACAUUCUGGGGGUUUAGAAUUGAAAUAGACCUUCACUUUGGUAUCCACUCAAAUACAAAAAGUGAGGUGUCAUCCCAUUUGUAAAUUUUCUCUUUGCCACUUAAGAUAAUGUAUCUGUCAAUGAAAAUAGAUUUAAGGAGAGUCACUCUUUCCAAUAAUUCUACUAAGGUAUAGAAAAAAUAUUAAUAUUGGAAAACCAAGCAGCUUUCUUCAAGAAUGUAUCCAUACUCCUAAACACCUUAAGUCAGGAUAUCUUAGUUACUCCAGCUAUCAAAAGAUCAUGCUUGCCUUGGUUAUGGGCCAUUUUUCUCCCACAGAUGAGGAUAUCCCUGAAUAUUUUCUCAUCAGCCCUUUAAAAAUAAUAGUGGUUUUUAUGUUUACCCUAAAGCUACCCAACACUUGUAAUGAAGAUAUUAAUGUUCAUUUAGUUACUCUCCUGUAAGCACAGGAAUCUGUCAAUGUUCUUUCUUGCUGUUCUGUAUCCUCCACUGCACCAUUGAUAAUGUUAAAUUUUUUCACUGAAUGUUUAAAGUAUAAAAGGCAGCUUGCUCUUUAAUCUAUGCAUCUUGGAAUUUUAGAAGUUUUAAUUCUUUGUUGUAAAAAGGAAGUACUUUAUGAGAUGGAAACUCUGCACCUGUGUGUAUGUGUGUGUGUGUAUUUUGGCAAUAAAGCAGCAUGGGCUGAGGAUGCA